CAGGUUUUGAGGGAGCGUGCAAUUGGUAGGCUGACUGCAGGAAUGCCCACCAGAUCUGUUGCCAGAGAAUUGAAUGUUAAUUUCUCUACCAUAACCCGCCUCCAACAUCAUUUUAAAGCAUUUGGAAGUCCGUCCAACCGGCCUCACAACAGCAGACCACGUGUAACCAAGCCAGCCCAGGACCUCCACAUCUGGCUUCUUCACCUGCGGGAUCGUAUGAGACCAGCCACCUGGACAGCUGAUGAAACGGUGGGUUUACCCAACCAAAUAAUUUCUGCAGUUCAGCGUUGUAACUGACUUCAAUGGGCAAAUGCUCACCUUCGAUGGCCACUGGCAUGCUGGAGAUGUGUGCUCUUUACAAAUGAAUCUCGGUUUCAACUGUACCGGGCAGGUAGUAUGUGUGUGGGCGAGUGGUUUGCUGAUGUCAACAUUGUGAAUAGAGUGCCCCAUGGUGGGGUUAUGGUAUGGACAGGCAUAAGCUACUGACAACGAACACAAUGGCAUUUUAUUGAUUACAAUUUGAAUGCACAGAGAUACCGUGACGAGAUCCUGAGGCCCAUUGUCGUGCCAUUCAUUUGCCACCAUCACAUGUUUCAGCAUAAUGCACGGCUCCAUGCAUGAUGCAAUGUCUCAGUUCCUCCAUGGCCUGUAUACUCACCUGAAAUGUCACUCAUUGAGCAUGUUUGGGAUGUUCUGGAUGGAUGUGUACAACAUUGUGUUCCAGUUCUUGCCAAUUUCGCACAGCCAUUGAAGAGGAUUGGGACAACAUUCCACAGGCCACAAUCAAGUCUACUUAACUCUCUGCAAAGGAGAGGUGUCACUUUGCAUGUGGCAAAUGGUGGUCACACCAGAUACUGACUGGUUUUCUGAUCCAUGACCCUACCUUUUUUUUAAGGAAAGUAAUCAGGGGCUCCCGAGUGGUGCAGAGGUCUAAGGCACUGCAUUUCACUGCUAGAGACAUCACAACAGACCCUGGUUUGACCCCGGGCUGUAUCUCAACUGGCCGUGAUCGGGAGUCCCCAUAGGGCGCCGCAUAAUUGGUCCAGCGUCGUCCGGUUUAGGGCAGGGUUUGGCCUGGGUCCCUUGAAGCUGUCCUCUGACAACCAUCACCUCUGGAUGUUCUACUACCAACAGACCUGCAGUAAUUCAGUUGAGUAUUUUUAGAGUUUAUCGUUGGUGCUGUUGUGGGGAAAUGACAGGGUAUAUCAUUCAAUAGUGUUUAUGUGAGACUGAAUAUUUGCAAUCAAGUCAGUGUUAGGGAUCAGUACGUUUGGUGCAUUCGGGAAGUAUUUAGUCCCUUUUUCUUCCACAUUUUGUUACAUUACAUUUUGUUACUCCUCAUCAAUCAACACACAAUACCCCAUAAUGACAAAGUGAAAACAGGUUUUUAGAAUUUAAAAAACUGAAAUGCCUUAUUUACAUAAGUAUUCAGACCCUUUGCUAUGACACUCAAAAUUGAGCUCAGGUGCAUCCUGUUUCCAUUAAUGAUCCUUGAGAUGUUUCCACAAGUUGAUUGGAGUCCACCUGUGGUAAAUUGAACUGAUUGGAUAUGAUUUGGAAAGUCACAUACCUGUCGAUACAAGGUCCCACAGUUGACCGUGCAUGCCAGAGCAAAAGCCAAGCCAUGAAGUCAAAGGAAUUGUCCUUAGAGCUCCGAGACAGGAUUGUGUCGAGGCACAGAACUGGGGAAUGGUACCAAAAAAUGUCUGCAGCAUUGAAGGUCCCCAAGAGCACAGUGGCCUCCAUUCUUAAAUAGAAGUAUGGAACCACUAAGACUCUUCCUAGAGCUGUACCAGUGACCAGUAAAACAUAGCGUCAGAAUUGAUAACAGCCCGGCCAAACCAAGUUAUCGGGUACUACAGUAUUGCUGUCCCUCUGGUGUUAUGGUAUACUACAAUAUUUGGUGAUAUUGUCCCUCUAUAGUGUUAUGGGAUGGUACUGUUCCUCUGGUGUUAUGGGGUACUACAGUAUUUGGUGGUACUGUCUCUCUGUGGUGUUAUGGGGUACUACAGUAUUUGGUGGGGUACUACAGUGUGGACCUCAUUAUCAAGUCAUGUGAACCAUAAUGUGACAGGUGAAUUAAGUAGAUUGUUGUUUUUUCCCACGCAUUCCUAUUCUGGUAAAUGUAAAAAAUAUUUUGAUACUCACAAUAACAUGCAUUUGGGUCAACAUGUCUUUGACUGCAUUUAUCUAUGACUGAAAACAUGCAAUGGAUAUUGUUUGACCUUACACCGUGAUCAAGCUACUUUGACUCCUAAAGGUACAGUCAUGGGGCAGACCUGUUAAUGUUUAACUACUGUAGUAAAAUCCUCAGUGUAGCAAUAAACACACGUGUUUCCUGAUACAUGCAUUGACAAAGUCUUAAGUGAACAAAUAAUACACUCCCUCAUCAUUAGGUCAUAAAAUAACUCCUUAUCAAUGAUGAACCUUGAUUCGUGAUUGGACACAACUGUUGGUUGUUUUUCAGAAUCUCCUUGUCUCCAACACAGUCAAGUUGCUACUCCUCUGGAUAUCCCAUUGUUCCUCCACUGGACCUAAUUAAACACUGAGUAUGAAAUGACUUUCACGGUGUAGUUGUAGGAAAUGUAAACUGUUCUGUUCUAAUGUUGCAUUAAUAUAGAACUAUUCAUGAAAAUACUGUGUAAAAGUGUGUUUCUACGUCAUACAUUGUUUCAAGCCACUCCUUGCAACAUCUGAUGUGAGAUUCAUGUGAGAUGUAUUAUAUUUUUUAGGUUAGUAUAAGGAGUCGGUGUUAUUCCUCAAGCAUCAAUAGGGUAUAUCAUUAAUUGAAAAGACAUUUGAACAGCAGUAAAUAUAGCAGAUUGUAACUAACAUAACACUUGGCCUCCAGUUCUCCUUACUGUACCUCCCUAAAGCUGAAGUGUGCAGUAGUUGCUGAAUUCCCCAUGGAAUACACAAUGAUUGAUGAUCGAAUACUGAGGAAGUGAAGUUG
Long non-coding RNA from Oncorhynchus tshawytscha (Chinook salmon), 2953 nucleotides. The record is from Ensembl. NCBI's taxonomy places the organism in Eukaryota, Metazoa, Chordata, Actinopteri, Salmoniformes, Salmonidae.